RNAcentral lists this ribosomal RNA (766 nucleotides) under uncultured Russula. RNAcentral's name for it is "partial 28S ribosomal RNA". It matches the Rfam family "Eukaryotic large subunit ribosomal RNA", at positions 216 to 962 of the family's 3401-position model. The record is from RNAcentral. Lineage: Eukaryota; Fungi; Basidiomycota; Agaricomycetes; Russulales; Russulaceae.
GAAUCCCGUCUUUGGCACGGAAACCCCAGGGCUUUUGUGAUGCGCUCUCGAAGAGUCGAGUUGUUUGGGAAUGCAGCUCAAAAUGGGUGGUGAACUCCAUCUAAAGCUAAAUAUUGGCGAGAGACCGAUAGCGAACAAGUACCGUGAGGGAAAGAUGAAAAGCACUUUGGAAAGAGAGUGAAACAGUACGUGAAAUUGUUGAAAGGGAAACGCUUGAAGUCAGUCGCGUCGGCCGAGACUCAGCCUUGCCUCGGCUUGGUGUACUUCUCGGCUGACGGGUCAGCAUCAAUUUUGCCCCUUGGAUAAUGGCGAGGGAAAUGUGACACCUUUACGGUGUGUUAUAGUCUCUUGUCGCAUGCAAGGGUUGGGAUUGAGGAACUCAGCACGCACCUUUGGGUGUCGGGGCUUUGCCCACGAUACGUGCUUAGGAUGUUGGCGUAAUGGCUUUAAACGACCCGUCUUGAAACACGGACCAAGGAGUCUAACAUGCCUGCGAGUGUUCGGGUGGAAAACUCGUGCGCGCAAUGAAAGUGAAAGUUGGGACCUCUGUCGUGGAGGGCACCGACGCCCGGACCAGACCUUCUGUGACGGCUCUGCGGUAAAGCAUGUAUGUUAGGACCCGAAAGAUGGUGAACUAUGCCUGAAUAGGGUGAAGCCAGAGGAAACUCUGGUGGAGGCUCGUAGCGAUUCUGACGUGCAAAUCGAUCGUCAAAUUUGGGUAUAGGGGCGAAAGACUAAUCGAACCAUCUAGUAGCUGGUUCCUGCC